Molecule: ribosomal RNA, 253 nt
Filed under: uncultured bacterium
Lineage: Bacteria
Description: partial 16S ribosomal RNA
Rfam family: Bacterial small subunit ribosomal RNA
Source: RNAcentral
UACGUAGGGCGCAAGCAUUAUCCGGAAUUACUGGGCGUAAAGCGUGCGCAGGCGGUGAUGUAAGACAGAUGUGAAAUCCCCGGGCUCAACCUGGGAACUGCAUUUGUGACUGCAUGGCUGGAGUGCGGCAGAGGGGGAUGGAAUUCCGCGUGUAGCAGUGAAAUGCGUAGAUAUGCGGAGGAACACCGAUGGCGAAGGCAAUCCCCUGGGCCUGCACUGACGCUCAUGCACGAAAGCGUGGGGAGCAAACAGG